UACUAGAGUAGCACUCGCAUAUCAAUAAGCGGAGGAAAAGAAACUAACAAGGAUUCCCUAGUAACGGCGAGUGAAGCGGGAAGAGCUCAAAUUUGAAAUCUUCAAGGGUUUCCCUUGACGAAUUGUAGUUUAAAGAAGUGUUUUCUGUUAGAGAGGUGGUAAAAGUUCUUUGGAAUAGGACAUCAUAGAGGGUGAGAAUCCCGUAUUUGAUCACUUUCUACUAACGUUGUGAUACACUUUCAAAGAGUCGGAUUGUUUGGGAAUGCAGUCCAAAAUGGGUGGUAAAUUUCAUCUAAAGCUAAAUAUUGGCGAGAGACCGAUAGCGAACAAGUACCGUGAGGGAAAGAUGAAAAGAACUUUGAAAAGAGAGUUAAACAGUACGUGAAAUUGUCAAAAGGGAAGCGUUUGACACCAGUGUUGUUUUUCCGAAAAUCAAUUAUGAAUGGCUUGAUUUUAAGUUUCAUGACCUUAAAAGCUUGUUUCUUAUUUUUCAUGUCUUUCGUAAUGCACUUUUCGGUUAACAAGUCAACAUCAAUUUCUUUUGUUGUAAAAGGUUAAGAGGAAGGUGGCUUUACUUUCGGGUAAAGUGUUUAUAGCCUUUUAACUCUGCAAUCGGAGAGAUUGAGGUCUGCAGCGUAGAUCCUUCGGGGUUAGAUACAUUUGUGCUAAGUUAUAGCUUUUCAUAGACAACUUGUUGACUAUGUUAAGUCUUGUAAUUUACUCGCAGAUGCUAUUUUACCUACGCUUAGGAUGUUGAAGAUAUGCGCGACAC
This 772-nucleotide ribosomal RNA is filed under the name uncultured Neocallimastigales. Its description in RNAcentral is "partial large subunit ribosomal RNA". It matches the Rfam family "Eukaryotic large subunit ribosomal RNA", at positions 20 to 643 of the family's 3401-position model. The record is from RNAcentral. Lineage: Eukaryota; Fungi; Neocallimastigomycota; Neocallimastigomycetes; Neocallimastigales.